RNAcentral lists this ribosomal RNA (211 nucleotides) under Chromohalobacter sp. K8. RNAcentral describes it as "partial 16S ribosomal RNA". It matches the Rfam family "Bacterial small subunit ribosomal RNA", at positions 75 to 293 of the family's 1533-position model. The record is from RNAcentral. Lineage: Bacteria; Pseudomonadati; Pseudomonadota; Gammaproteobacteria; Oceanospirillales; Halomonadaceae.
CCAGCUUGCUGCUCGUCGUCGAGCGGCGGACGGGUGAGUAAUGCAUAGGAUCUGCCCAGUCGUGGGGGAAACCUGGGGAACCCAGGCUAAUACCGCAUACGUCCUACGGGAGAAAGCGGGGGCUCUUCGGACCUCGCGCGAUUGGUGAGCCUAUGUCGGAUAGCUGGUUGGUGGGGUACGGCUCACCAAGGCGACGAUCCGUAGCUGGUCU